This is a long non-coding RNA of Cyprinodon variegatus (sheepshead minnow), 976 nucleotides long. RefSeq lists it as uncharacterized. NCBI's taxonomy places the organism in Eukaryota, Metazoa, Chordata, Actinopteri, Cyprinodontiformes, Cyprinodontidae. The transcript has 3 exons. The record is from RefSeq and is a predicted model, not a curated record.
AUCUCAGUCAAGUUUUCUUGGAUUCCUCCUUUUUCUUAAAUCUUUGUCAUUCCUUCUAGGCUGAUUUUGUUGGGAUCUGGAGGUCUGUCCACCUUUCUCCAGCAGAGGGCGUUCUAGGUCUCCUGGGGCUGAAGCUGACCACCACACCUGCGGCUCAUGAGCUCAUCAGGGGACCAGCAUUUAAGGAGGGGCAGAGCUACAAUCCGACGGCAGAGUGUUUGCCAGUUAUGGAAGAACCUGCCUGGAAUCCUGAAGACCUGGAAGGAUUUCUCAAGCGUGAGACCAAGCGGUCUGUUCUCAGAAGAACGCUGGAAAUCCAACUCAGUCUGAAACCUGCCUGCCCGCUCUGAAGAGAAGCUCUGAACCUGCUCAGUAAGAUUAUCUGCUCUGCCCUGCCUCUGCGUGCCUUCAGCCUCUGGACCCUCCUGGUUCCCCCCCUUCUACCGCUCAGCUCAUCUCUGAUCAGUGAAAACCAGUCGUGACCAGACCCGGACCCACUUUAUCCCAGAACCAGUGUUCUUUAUUUGUUAUUAUUUCUUUAAUAAACUUGUAAACUUUUUCCCAGCCUCUGAGUGUUCUGCAUGUGGGUUAGAUCCCUUAAAGCCAACAUGACAGAUUUAUGAGGCUGAACUAUUUACUGAGCUGUCUGGUCAAAACCUUUUAACCUGCUGCAUGCCCCCACCUUUUGCUAAGAUAAGAUCCUUUGUCAUCUGAAAUGGAGCUCUUAGACUUUACUUUUUUUUUUUCCCUAAUAACGUCUGGUGGGGUUUAAAUGGUUACCUAAACAUUUUUUUUCGAUCCCUUUUAUGUUUUGACCCAUAGGGGACCAUGAGUCAAAAGGGAGGACUAGGAAAUGGAUGGACAAAAAUUGGUUAACAGUUAAUUUUUCUCAAAAAGCAACAAAGUUUGUGAAAGUUUAAUCUGUGCAUGUAAAAACAUUUCUAGAGGAAAGAAAAUGAUGGGCCAAGGAGCCACA